Molecule: long non-coding RNA, 236 nt
Filed under: Panax ginseng (ginseng)
Lineage: Eukaryota; Viridiplantae; Streptophyta; Magnoliopsida; Apiales; Araliaceae
Description: long non-coding RNA (PGIN_LNC015230)
Source: RNAcentral
GCAAGCUGAAGAACGGAAGGCGGUCGUGGAGCAAAGGAAUGUAACAAUUCAAAAUUGUAUUACCCGAUGUGCGAUAGCUGAACAUGAGCGCUCUUUGGCAGAGUAUACGAUAUUAAAGCUGGAAUCUGAGAAUUCAAAUGUCAAGGAGCAACUGAAAGAAGAAAUAACUGAACGAGUGAGAAUGAAAGAUGCAUGGGUAAAAGCCACAUGACACGUUGAUAUUGUGGAAAGAGAAG